CACAGUCCCUCAUGGUGGAGAGGGUUGCAUUUGAGCAGAUAGUGAUGGGGGUGCACAGCUGCGAGAGUCCCCUCCAUCUCUCACUGCAGCAGAACUAAUGUCUACACCCCCCGCCCCCAUCUGGUUCUACCUCUUUUGCUCUCACUCUCUUCUUUCCGCCUCUCCAAGGGGGUGGGGGUGCCGUAUGGAAAGAAAAAUGGACGGUGUAUCGGACAAAAGGGAAAUGUUACCUUCUCUCUUUGGGAUAUUGGCAUCUCUGUGUGGGACUUGAAGUCCAAAACAACCCUGGCCAGAAAGAAAGGCGAUUGAGGAAAACAUCCAUGAAGGAAUGAGGAGGAGGAGGAAGAUGCAAGUGAAAGUGGUCAGGUUUGAAGUGAAGUGGAGGAGACAGUCCAGCCAGCGCCACCCGCGUGCGUCUCAAACCCCCCAAGCUCCGCAUCAGUAUGCAGCGACUGUUGCUAAGGUGAUAAAACCGCUGGAUGGAUGGGGGGGGGGGGGGGGGUAACUGCAGAAACAUCAAUAGUGCAAUGGAAAGCAGGUGAGGACAAAGACACAGAGAGUUGGGCGUGAGACUGGAGGGCAGAAAAGCAUGGUUACACUUUCCUGGCCUGUGUACAUUAACUGGCCACCAUUUUGUGAGUGCUGCCGUUUGAUGUUAGCAGUAAAAAGCAUCUCGCCCUACAAAUUUAAUGACAGUAAGUUGGGUUGUUUUAACAUUCAUUAAAAAGGGUAAAAGUCCCUGAAAAGGAGCUACAGAAAAAGCAAAUCUUGCUACUGUCAUUGUCAGAUUUUAUUCUGAGAAAGUGCCAUAGAAAUAAAAAUGGAUUUUAUUUGAUUGUACUGGUUAACUGGAAUUUGUGCAUAUAUUUUCUUUGACAUUUUUUUAAAUUCUGCUGCUGUAACAAAUUUCCUUUUCAAAAUGUCAACUUUACAAAUAGAUCAAUAUUAGUGUAUACUGAGUGACAGUAGCUACUCAGUAUAAAGGAAAACCAUUUUUGAUCCAACUCUUAUAUUUCAUCUGCGUAAGAAUAUCUGUAUUUUCUCACUAUGUGCUGUGUCAGGUAGGUUUUCCUAAAUGUGUAUUUUGUCUUGCAGAGCUUUCCACUAUGUGAUUUGUACCCUAAAUAAACAGAUGGCAAAAGAGAA
Syngnathus typhle (broad-nosed pipefish) is the source of this 1146-nucleotide long non-coding RNA. RefSeq lists it as uncharacterized. Lineage: Eukaryota; Metazoa; Chordata; Actinopteri; Syngnathiformes; Syngnathidae. The record is from RefSeq and is a predicted model, not a curated record. The transcript has 3 exons.